CCUACGGGAGGCAGCAGUGGGGAAUAUUGGACAAUGGGGGCAACCCUGAUCCAGCCAUGCCGCGUGAGUGAUGACGGCCUUAGGGUUGUAAAGCUCUUUUCUCCGGGACGAUAAUGACGGUACCGGAGGAAUAAGCCCCGGCUAACUUCGUGCCAGCAGCCGCGGUAAUACGAAGGGGGCUAGCGUUGCUCGGAAUCACUGGGCGUAAAGGGCGCGUAGGCGGCUGACUUAGUCGAGGGUGAAAGCCCGUGGCUCAACCACGGAAUGGCCUUCGAUACUGGUUGGCUUGAGACCGGAAGAGGACAGCGGAACUGCGAGUGUAGAGGUGAAAUUCGUAGAUAUUCGCAAGAACACCAGUGGCGAAGGCGGCUGUCUGGUCCGGUUCUGACGCUGAGGCGCGAAAGCGUGGGGAGCAAACAGGAUUAGAUACCCUGGUAGUCCACGCUGUAAACGAUGAAUGCUAGCCGUUGGUCUGCAUGCAGGUCAGUGGCGCCGCUAACGCAUUAAGCAUUCCGCCUGGGGAGUACGGUCGCAAGAUUAAAAACUAACAAAGUAAGUUAGUUAGACGUUGNGAGNGCGACGAGACACAGGAGGAG
Molecule: ribosomal RNA, 596 nt
Filed under: uncultured bacterium
Lineage: Bacteria
Description: bacterial SSU rRNA
Rfam family: Bacterial small subunit ribosomal RNA
Source: RNAcentral